GGCAGAGGAGACUUGGCACUGGCUGGGGGUCAUGGGCAGGUCAUCUUGCCAAAUGGGGCUAACAUAUACCAUUCCCUCUUUUCAAAGGAGAGAAAGUUGACUCUAGGGACCUGAAAAAUGUCUUGGGAAGCCUGGGGAUUGAACUCACAGAUGACGAGCAAGAGAAGCUGCUGAAAACACUGCCAGUUGAUGGGGGGAACGUUCAUGUAAAUAACCUGGACAAUACUCAAGAAAAUUUGGGACUCAAGCUCACAGAAGAGGAACUUGUAAAGCUGUC
This 277-nucleotide long non-coding RNA is filed under the name Dasypus novemcinctus (nine-banded armadillo). Its description in RNAcentral is "lncRNA (ENSDNOG00000051964.1)". Lineage: Eukaryota; Metazoa; Chordata; Mammalia; Cingulata; Dasypodidae. The record is from RNAcentral.